RNAcentral lists this ribosomal RNA (442 nucleotides) under uncultured bacterium. RNAcentral describes it as "partial 16S ribosomal RNA". It matches the Rfam family "Bacterial small subunit ribosomal RNA", at positions 338 to 795 of the family's 1533-position model. The record is from RNAcentral.
CCUACGGGAGGCAGCAGUGGGGAAUAUUGGGCAAUGGGCGCAAGCCUGACCCAGCAACGCCGCGUGAAGGAAGAAGGCUUUCGGGUUGUAAACUUCUUUUAAGGGGGAAGAGCAGAAGACGGUACCCCUUGAAUAAGCCACGGCUAACUACGUGCCAGGAGCCGCGGUAAUACGUAGGUGGCAAGCGUUGUCCGGAUUUACUGGGUGUAAAGGUCUUGCAGCCGGAGAGACAAGUCAGAUGUGAAAUCCACGGGCUCAACCCGUGAACUGCAUUUGAAACUGUUUCCCUUGAGUGUCGGAGAGGUAAUCGGAAUUCCAUGUGUAGCGGUGAAAUGCGUAGAUAUAAGGAAGAACACCAGUGGCGAAGGCGGAUUACUGGACGAUAACUGACGGUGAGGCGCGAAAGCGUGGGGAGCAAACAGGAUUAGAUACCCUUGUAGUC